RNA transcript from Brassica napus (rape), 1242 nucleotides. RefSeq lists it as uncharacterized. The record is from RefSeq and is a predicted model, not a curated record. Lineage: Eukaryota; Viridiplantae; Streptophyta; Magnoliopsida; Brassicales; Brassicaceae. The transcript is spliced from 7 exons.
AAUAUCCAAAUCGAAUCGAAACGAAUAACAAAUCGGAUCAAAUUUCACGGAUAAUUUGCCCAGCUCUAGUUGGCUUAUAUAUACUGAAAAAAUGAAAAGUAACGUAGAUAUAUUUGAGAGAAAUUAAGGAGAAUUUAUAAAUGGCAUUUAAUCUAGUGUUAUGUCUAUUUGUUUAUCUGCUGUUUACUCAAGGUGCACAAGGAAGUAUUGAUGAUUUUGAUUGUGUUGAGAUAUACAAACAACCGGCUUUCCAACAUCCAUUGUUGAAAAAUCACAAGAUUCAGGAAAUAUUCAGUUCAUAUGAGGAUCUUGAAAGAAGCGACAACUAUGAAAAGAAAGAGCAAUGUCCAAAGGGAACGGUUCCAAUCUUUAGACAACAAAAUGGAUCCGAGAGCUUUCAUUUGAACACAUCCGAUCAUUUGGGUCAACAUUUUGCAGUAAUUGAGACCAUGAUAGAUGGAACUAUCUAUUGAGGAGCUGAAGCUGAAAUAAGUAUUCAUUCUCUAAAUUUGCAAGAUAACCAAUAUAGUAAAAGUCAAAUCUGGUUAGAGAAUGGACCUCCAGGUCAACUCAAUAGUAUACACGCUGGUUGGGCGGUGCAUCCAAGAUUGUACGGUGACAGUGUCACACGAUUUACAAUAUAUUGGACAGGAGAUGGCUAUGGUAAAACUGGGUGCUACAACACACAAUGUCCUGGUUUUGUUGUUUUAAGUCGAAAUCACAGAAUUGGAAAUCAGUUCUCGGGAUCAUCUGUCUAUGGAAAAACAACCCGUUAUUUUACACUGCAAAUAUUUCAGGAUAUCUCUAGUGGAAACUGGGUACUUAAACUAGAUAAUGAAGUAAUUGGUUACUGGCCCAAAGAGCUGUUUACAGAGUUAAACGAAGGAGCUUCUCUAGUGAGAUAUGGAGGAAAUACAUUUAUGUCCACAGAUGAAAUGAGUCCUCCAAUGGGGAAUGGGCACUUUCCAGUAGCAGAAUUUUUAGAGACAGCAUAUUUUAAAAAUGUCUUGAUUAUAGACUCCAACUAUAUAAGAGUUUAUAUUCAAUAUAGAAAACUAAGAUGUUAUGCUGAUGUCUAUUAUUGCUUUGAGGUUACAUAUUGGGGUUAUGGCAGAACUACUGGAGAUUCUUUCUCGUUUGGAGGACCAGGUGGCAAAUGUGGUGUUUGAUGAGUUCUAUGUAUAUGUACCAACCAAACUUUGUAAACUUCUUAAAAGAUAAAUAAUAAAGUCAUUCAAAAUA